GUUUGUGGUAGUGAAAAUUGGAGAUUAGUAAGAGGAGCUGGACUGUUUAGAAAGAAAAUGUAGAGUUAUCAUCUGCAAUCUGAUGUGGUCUUCCUUUUCAGAAAAAAAUACUGUUUCUGGCAUUCAUGUUGGGAGAGAGGAGCCGUCCUUUCCAAGACUUUCAGUAUAGGCAUGCUUCUAAGAAGGGUAUUGACCAUGAGGAAGCCUGUGUGCUAGUAACCAGUGUUUACUAAUCCCGCCGAAGAAAAUGAAGCCACGUUUCAGCUUUGCCGAUCCUUUUCCCACCCUAUUGGCUGAAUAAGAAAUGGUUGUGU
This 314-nucleotide long non-coding RNA is filed under the name Junco hyemalis (dark-eyed junco). Its description in RNAcentral is "lncRNA (ENSJHYG00000008204.1)". The record is from RNAcentral. Lineage: Eukaryota; Metazoa; Chordata; Aves; Passeriformes; Passerellidae.